AUUGAACGCUGGCGGCAUGCUUUACACAUGCAAGUCGAACGGUAACAGGGAGCUUGCUCCGCUGACGAGUGGCGAACGGGUGAGUAAUAUAUCGGAACGUACCCAGAAGUGGGGGAUAACGUAGCGAAAGUUACGCUAAUACCGCAUACGAUCCACGGAUGAAAGUAGGGGACCUUCGGGCCUUAUGCUUUUGGAGCGGCCGAUAUCUGAUUAGCUAGUUGGUGAGGUAAAGGCUCACCAAGGCGACGAUCAGUAGCUGGUCUGAGAGGACGACCAGCCACACUGGAACUGAGACACGGUCCAGACUCCUACGGGAGGCAGCAGUGGGGAAUUUUGGACAAUGGGCGCAAGCCUGAUCCAGCAACGCCGCGUGAGUGAAGAAGGCCUUCGGGUUGUAAAGCUCUUUUGUCAGGGAAGAAACGGGAGUGGCUAAUAUCCAUUCUUAAUGACGGUACCUGAAGAAUAAGCACCGGCUAACUACGUGCCAGCCGCCGCAGUAA
Molecule: ribosomal RNA, 500 nt
Filed under: uncultured bacterium
Lineage: Bacteria
Description: partial 16S ribosomal RNA
Rfam family: Bacterial small subunit ribosomal RNA
Source: RNAcentral